UGGAAGCACACAGUCCCUAGAGCUCCGG
RNAcentral lists this non-coding RNA (28 nucleotides) under Rattus norvegicus (Norway rat). Lineage: Eukaryota; Metazoa; Chordata; Mammalia; Rodentia; Muridae. The record is from RNAcentral.